GAUAGAGGCUGCCAAAGGUUAGAUCUGAUUUGCAGAGCUCAGCGUAAACAAGCCGGUCACAGCGAGCCAAGUCAACCUGCCAUCCAAAGAAGAACAGGAGUGAAAGCAGCACUGGGAGACAAGCCUGCAGUCUCUGUAAGCUGCUGUAAUCAGUGACACUGAGAUGGGAUUGUGCAGAUGUAAGAUGGAGGUCUUGCGCCAUAAACAAAAAGGUCAUCAAAAGGUAAUAUUUAAUCUUACCACUAUGUUCUUAUUUGUGACUGUGUUGGGUAAACAGUUGGUGUCUCAGGAGGGAAUCGGCAUCAGGCUGCAGAAGUUCAAAGGCAAUUCAAGGGUCAUGGGAUGGAGAAGGCAGGAGGCAGGAGGGGAUUUGGUUGGGACAGGACUCUUGUUGUCCCCAGCUGUCCUGUCUCAUGUCAGUCCUGACCAAAGGGCAGUCCCAGGUCAGAGGGUCAGAGAGAAGAAAGGAAAGAGAAAGAAGAGGGGGUUCAAAUACGGGCUGUGGACCGGAGGAGUCUGGAGGAGGGGUGGAGUCUGUGUGCAUGUGUGUGUUUUGUGACAGCACACACCGUCACCCCCUCCUCUGUUCUCAUACACACACACACAGGGACAGCGUGACCAGACGUCCCUUUGGCCUCUGAUAUAUUUAUAUGCUCGGAGCAGUCUCUGCUCGGAGAGGGAGACCCACGAGAUGCACCUGAGCAAAUAUUAACAUCCUCCAUAAGGAGCCUUUGAUGUGCAGGGGCCAGAGCCUGGGGUCGGCACCCCUCAGCAGGCUGGGCUCGGAGCGCAGGGUCUGCAGAGUCAAUAGAGAUGUGGGAAGAUACUGAGGAGCAGACGGGUCAGACUCUCAGCCAGACAUGAAGGCUGUGCAGCACAUUUUAGGGUCAGGGGAAAUCUGUAUCCAAACUACAAGGUUUCUUCAAGGGAAUUUAUUUAGAAGUGUGAUUCAGAGAGAAAAACACGCUCAGUGACCGAUUAAACACAUUCAAAUGUCAAAACAGUGUGCAUCAAACACAAUGCCUUUGAUUGAACUGAAGAAAAACUUGCUCUCAUGACAGUUUUAAGGCAAUUCUUAAAAAUCUGUUUCAUUCUUACAAAGGCCACUCUCAGCAUGGGGAAUUCUGUCUCUCCACCCUCACUGAACGACUAUUGAAAGUUCAUAAAACUCAACAGCACUCAAAAAAAAGAAAAAUCCACAACUUAUUUGAAAGAGGAAAAAAGAUUAACUUCCAGAGACUUAAGUGUCUUCACUGCUAAAUCCCUGUUCAAACGUUGAGAAGAGACUUGAGGGAAAUAAAUAUAUAAAGUCAUCCAAGAACGAGGCUAAGUGGUUUAUCUCCUUUCAUCUUGCCACCGCUGUAUGAGGACUAAUCCUGCCUUGUGUCUUCAGCACCAAGCCGGGCCCCUCUGAACUACAUUAAAUAGAAUAGAUUAGCUCCUCCAAAAAGUCACGAGGUGGCAUUUCAGAAUCUGCCUUGUUUUUUUUGGUGCCAUAGAUAGUGGAUGGCAUGAGCCAGUAUUUGUGCUCAGCUUUGUCUCUGGGUGUGAAGCUGACAUCUGAACUCUCUAGCGAGGAGAGUUUUGCUGACGAUAAGGGACCAUUGAUUGUCUUUUAGUUUGCAGGUUUAUUCCAAGCCGGAAAAAUCUGUGUGUGACACUUUCUUUGUGUGUUUGUGUCUGAUAUCUGUGUUUGUGGACAGUCGUGUGAGGAUUGAUAAAGCUUGUGAAUCCAUCAACAAACCAUCAUGUGCAGGAGCAUUGUUCUUCAUCUCUUUGCCACAUUGUCCAUUCCUCUAGACGAAGAGGACAAUUUACCGCAGGAAGCCCAGUGUGGGUGUGUAAUGCAAUUAAAAGACUCCUUCAUUUUGUUUGAUCUGCUUCAUUUCAUUUGGUCUUACUAAUUUGGAAGAGAAAUCAGAUAAGGCACAGCCAUCAUGUGUUUUCACAUCAAAAGUGGUGGACGACAAUGUUUCCACUAUGUUUCCUCUUCAUCUCCUUUUGGAGACUUCUGAGGGCAGCAGUGAUUAGAUCAUCUGCAGAGCUCCAGACAAUGAGCUAUUGUGGCGAGAAGCAGCCAUAAAUUGGACUUGUCAAAGCGAUCUAGUUAAGACUAGAUCAAAGACUUCACUGAAUACUACUACCUCUCCAUCUAAGUAGACUUGUUUAUAUCUACUAAUUUCUCCCUUUUUAUUACUGCAGAGAGGAAGUGUGAGUUUAUGGGCAGAAGGUGUCCUCCCAGACCUGAAAUUACAAAUUCAGAGCUCCAGAGUGUAUCCGAGGACAAAAACCCAGGCAGAGUAUUUUAAAGUACAUUUUUUGUAUAUGUUUAAGAAGUACAUCCAUUUUUGUGGGUAUAUACAGUAUGUGCUCAUGCAGCCAAGGAGGUGUGCUGAAGGCUCUCCAGAUGCACUGGUUUAGUGGAAGUAUUAACAAGACCACAGCUAUUCCAGAUAUGCCCAAACCAAACAAGAGGAGCUGCAAAAGAGCCGGCUGCACACACAGAGCUCCCAAAUAAAGGGCAGAGGAGAUGAAAAGGGAAGGUAGACACAGAUUUCCCCAUUAUUCCUCUAAUCUAGUGUCAGAUCAGGGCUAGCAGCAUGGAUUGGAAGAAAGCUGUUCCCAUUUCAGGGAAAAUCAUGAGGUUAUGAUUUGCUGAAUGAUGUUUCCCCUGUUUCCCAUAUCUUAUUGAUUUGGAGAAAGCAUCCAUCAGUGUGUCAAAAUAUUGGCAGUGUGAUGAUAUUUAUAACAAUCAUAAAUCUUGUUGCUUCAUUUUAGCACGCCUGUGGUACAGUACAUCAUGCAGCACCUCAGGGUUUGGAAGACUGAUAGAGAUGCAUCAAGACGGCAUGUAUAUGUAUCUGCGUCCAGUUACAGUAUGUGACAGGCUGAACAGCCUCUGCUGGCAAUGUUUAGAACACAACAUGAGUAUAUGGCAGCAAGGUAGGGAGUGAAAUCCUUGAUAUGGCUCAUUUUACAGGUACAUCACUGCUAUAACAUCACAGAAACACUUUACACAGGUAAACAAAACUGUUCAAUCUCUUUGAAGCUCCCUUGAGGAGUUUUUAGUUGGUUGUAAAACAAACAGGCCUAAAAAAAAACAAAAAACUAUCAGCUAGAGGAGGGAUUUUUCUGUCUACUAGUUUUUGAUGUCUUGAACUACCAGUAUGAAUGCUUCAGCAGGUGCAUCCUUCACAGCCCCAUAUCCCAUGAUUCUUUGCACACUAAUGCAAUUUAAACAGCAUACACUGAAGACUGUGGAGUCAUACACUGUUAGAUAAUGAUAGUGUCCACUGAGCUGUACAAAUAAGAUGGAAGAAAGACACACUGAAAUUGUCCUUGAAAUGUUUUUGAUGGUGUUUACGUCACUCAAGCUAUGCUCCCAAUGUUGGCUAAAUCAAAUUAGGCAGCCAAAUCAGUGUCAUUUUCAUAUACUGUCUUAAACAACACUUUAAAACAGGAUUUUAUAUUGAGUUUGUUCAGAAUCUUUCGAAAAAUGUGAUUGAUGACACUUGGUUUUUCAAAACCUGAUGGUGUAGUUUGUAUUUCUGAUGGUUAUUGCGUUCUUUUAUUCAAUUUGUACUUACACGACUCAUUUAAUCACAUAACUGUCUGCUUUUUUAUUUGUUCUGUUGUCUACUGGAAAGCACUUGUCAGACUAAUUUUCAUUAAAAAAGGGGUCUGCUAAUAGAGUUGUAGUUAUUGUAGUAAUUAUAAAUAAUGAAACAGCUUACUGGCCUCAGAUCGUCCUAUAGCCCCAUGCAUGAAUAAAAAACACCCAGUAGACCCCCUUAGUCAACUUUGCAGAGAUGUAUAAUGUUAAUGUGUGAGGUUAAAAGAGAACUAAAAAAAAAACUCCCUGGGGCAACAGUAUUACUAUCAGAGCUGCAGUCGUGCUUUGCAACAGUGUAAGGACUCGCCUGCUGUUCUGUUGUGAUGUGUGUAAACAGGGUCCAGUAGUGGACUUCUAUCUGUCUGCACAAACACAUUUGUGGCAGCAUCAAAUAAGGGCCAGAGCUGGAGUGCAGGACGCGUUAUUUAAUAAUUAAUCAAGGUGCAGUUCAAGGCACGUAAUCUGAUGAAAGUGCCGUCUGUCAGGCAAAAUUAAGCCCUUCUAUCGUUUCAUUAUUGUUGUUAGUUUAGGCUGAUCUCUCUGUCAUUUCUCGGCCCCUCUCUCCCUCCUUUCCUCCAUCCUUCUUGCCCCCUCUCUCCUCUUCUUAUCAUAAGUUUGAGGUUGUCAAUGUGUCAAUUAAAACCAGCCACGGCGUGUUGUUUCAUCGUGCGGCAUGUUUGAUGUCUCAGUAUAAAAGUGCUUUGAAAUCUGUUUACUUUGCCUUUGCUUUGCUCUUUCUUCAGCACUCUUCUUCUCACUGCCUGCUAUGCUGUGGGCUCCUCUUAUCUUUUGUGGCUUGGAAUUAAAGCAUGGAGGAAAACACAACAAAGGUGUGCAGGAGUACUGAUGAUGUCAUGUGUGGAUAAUGAUGAGCUAAAGUCAAUAAAGAGCAGGAAGGUAACUAUGGCUCAUGUUACAUUGUUCACUCCUGUCACCCAGAUUAACAGAACUGUGGGUGUGCUUAAAACACACCUACUGUAGAACAUAAAGCAUGUCUUACUUUGUUGUUUUUGUCUGUGUUUCCUGAACCUCAUUAAAUAUGUUCACUCUAAUACAUGUGGUCAAAUUGCUCUCUGGAAGGCAAGCAUGAUUAUCAUAAAGGUGACUUCACAUGAAUGCCCACUUAGGACUUUAAUAGCAUACAAUAGUAACUCUUUUCAUAGAGGUUGAUUUAUCAGGGAACUGUAUGAGAUUUGGUCAGGUAGCCUUAUUCUAGUCAUUAACAUUAAGAAAACAAUAGAACAAUAAUAAUAAUAAUAAUACUAAUAAUAAUUAUUAUUAUUAUUAUUAUUAUUAUUAUUAUUAUUGUUGUUGUUGUUGUUGUUGUUGUUGUUGUUGUUGUUGUUGUUAUUAUUACUACUACUAUUAUUAUUAUUAUUAUUAUUAUUAUUAUUAUUAUUAUUAUUAUUAUUAUUAUUAUUAUUAUUAAUGUUAUAUUGAUUGAUUAAUUAAUUAAUUAAAUUUUUAUGGAGUGUCCAUGAUCUUCAGAGAGAAUUAAAUUAAAAGCCCAGUCAAGUUUUUGGUGGAUUGGUUGGAAGUUUACAUAUCUAUCCCUCUUUGAAAAGGGCGGCUGUGUGGCUUAGUGGUAGAGUCAGUCAUCUCCCAAUCGGAGGCUUGAAGUUCAAUCUCAGGUCCUGCUGUUUGCAUGCCUUGGGCAAGACACUUGGGUUCAGUCAAAAACCGAUGGGCUUUGCACACAACAGCCCCUGCCAUUAGUGUGUGAAUGUGGUGAGAAUGGGUGACUGUGACAUGUAAUAUAAAGCGCUUCAGAGUUUUAUUGUCCUGUCCCAUCUUUUUUUUUUUUUUUUGUGGACAUGUUGAUGGUAUCAGAUUUACAUUGAGCAUGUGUUUUUCAUUUCAUUUCAUUUACCAAUAACAUACUUUAGUGUCGACAUCUUACAUGCUGUCUUAAAGGUUUAAAUGAUUCAGUUCAUUACUGAGAUAUGUAACUUGUAAACCACUGGCUACAUGAAGAACAAUGGCCCUCAUUUAUCAAUCUUGCGCAGAUCUGAGCUCAGGAUUCAUCGUACAAUAGGGCACACGUGAGAUUUAUGAAAGGGUUCAUAUCUGACCAAUCCCAGCGUACGUAUGAUCAGGUCUUGAGAAAUGCGGCGGCUGAAAUUGAUCAUCAUUAACAUGUUUACGCCCUUAAAUAUUUGUGAUUCAGAAGCCUCGCCCACUGAGGUCAAACAUGAAAGAGGAGAAAUAUUACAAAGAUUCUAAACUUUUCCGAGCUGAAAGUGGUUAUCCUCACAUCUGUGGUGGAAACUAACAAGGAUUUUCUCUUUUGGAAGCAUCAAAACUGGUAUAAAAGCAGUCCCGAAAACUCCUGUCUGGAGCAGGAUUAAGGUGGCGGUGAACAGCGCUGCUGCGGAAUAGCAGACAGUGGCUGAAGUUUGAAUAAAUCAUUAGUCAAUAAGUUGCUCAUGAUGAUAAAUUAAUAUCUCAUACGUGCCUCAUAUUUUUUUAUUGACAUGACAAAGGGUACGUUGCUCCUACUAUUGAAAGUAUUUAGUUUUAAUUUGUUGCGUCUUUGUAAUGUAGAGCAAACUGGAGAGUCUGACAGAGGCUGAACAAAAAUAAUUAUUAAUGUCACCAAACGGUGUGUUGCUGCCCCUGAGGCACAUUUUUAUGGAUUUCUAUUGGAUUUUUAUCACUGAUUAAAUAGCAAGAGCACUUUCUAAACUUAUACUUUACAUGUCAGAAUGCAUUGAUAAGGUCCUGUCUCCUCUGUACAGCACCUUUGUGGAGUCUCUCCUCGUUAUUGUUCUCCGGGCAUCGGGUCCUCCCGUUGCACCGGCACAGCCAACGGCACUCCAUUCACCAGAGCAACAUUGUACAAAACUGUACUGGCCCAAAUGAUGUCCCACACCCUUCCAGGAGUGUACAACAACGUCCCCGCUGCUGGGCCAAGACAGAGACACCUGCCUUUUAGGAGUCAAACGCAGCGCUCCACAGUGGCACGUGUGUGCGCAGUGUUAAAACGGCGCUCCUGCUCUGUGGCAGUGUUUCUGGGCAGAGUUAUCAAAUAGGCCUAUUCACUAAGGACAUUACAAAUUUAUUUAAUUUUAUUUACGUCUUAAUCUUCAAUGAAAACUGUCUAAUUGUGCUUAAUGACAGGUUUGAGGUUUGUAUAUCAAUUAUUUUGAGACACAUUUGCUGCACCGCAGAUCCACACUGACUCAAACUUGCGUACACGAUGUCAGACCUGUCGUGAGAUUUGGUCAAAGCGUACACUCACGUGUAGAUUGAUAAAUGCCAUAUCCUCACGUCAAAAUUUUCGUACACAAGGUGUACUCAAGUUUUCUGCUGUACGCAAGCUUGAUAAAUGAGGGCCACUGUGUCCAAAGGCCUUCCUCAUUCUUUUGGUUAUUUGAGGGAGCUGCUUGUUUUCCAUGUUGAAUGCAUAUUUGUUUCUCUAACAUGCACCGGUUAAGGACAAGCUACCAUGUUUAUAGGGGAAAGUACAAGAAAUGACUUAGAAAAGGCCCACUUCUCUGUUAUUUUUUAUAGUUCUUUUAUAAUAUUGAAAAAAAUUGUCCAUGAAGACUUUUGUAGCAAAAGUUCUGCUUUUGUGGGCCAUUAUCUAAGAUGUGUCCCCCAGUUAUUUAGGCAUAUAUAUUUAACUGGAGUGAAUAAAACUUGGAUACAAACACUAACCUAAAAAUAUGUCUUUACUGUCCAAACUCACACAACAGUUACCUUAUCUGGCUUUUCAAACAGCAACUCUUCUGUUGUUGUGUUAAAUGUCAUAACCGAGAGUGACAGAUUACAUUAAAAAAGUUCAGAGAAAUGUUCUUAAAAGAAAAGAGCACCAAUCCUCCAUCACCACCAUCCAUUAACAUCAACCCUUGGCUCUGAACUUGAAAGCUUUAAUGAAUAAGUCUUUCAUCGACAGGUGUAUAAAACUCCACCUUUAACAUUCCUAAAUACCACACGUGAGUGUUUGGGUCUGAGCUUUGUUCAUGUCAGCUCAGCUCAAAUUGUUUGCAGUAUGUUUGUAUCAUAACCAUAUGCCCAUAUAGUGCAUUCCUUACUGCCCACACAAACAGCUCUCAGGCAUAUUUGACUCCACAAACCUCAAGCUGAACUGACAUGAACAAUAUGUGUAAGAUUGAGUCUGUUCUUCUGGAGCCCUUCUUUAGCUGAAUACCACAGGAGGAAGAUUACUGCUUCCCGAGACGUGAAUCAAACUUUUUACUUUACAUAAAAACUCCCCUAGAUAAAAACAACAGCCAGCCAAGAAUGUCUUAAUCUGUCCAAACAGCUUUAAGUUUUAGUGCCUCCUCGUGUGAACCUGAAGCAUCACUGUAAAUGCACUGAGAUCUAAAAGGCAAAGAUUCAAAAAUAAUACGGCUUCAAUAUGAAAUGAAAUGAAUGAUUCAAGGAAAUGACCUUUAGGUAAUAACACUUUCACACUUUUGCUUGUGUAAAAGGUGCUUUUGGUAGAGUUCAGACCCCAACAUGUACCUUUAUGGAUGCAGAAGUAAGGAUCGCCAUCCUCACUAAAGAAACAAGCCUUGUUUUAUAACAAAAAUGAUACUUUAUUCUAUCCAUCUUUCCAUUCAGAUGCAUUUUUUUUCUGUUAGUUUCCGCUUUCUGACCCCAGAGUUGUUUGUUUUCUACACUGUGGUCUCCAUGAGCUUGUUUUAUAUGCUUGUAAGCUUUACCAGGGAACUGGUGCUUUUUAUCGUUGGGGCCAGGGAUGCCAUACAGGGCAGACAAGUCAGGUCCUGAAUAAAUCAGAGCAUUAGUUAUUAUUGGUAUCAUCACUAUUAGAUCACAUAACUAAUCAUUAUGAGGCCAUGCUAUCUAGCUGUGGCUGCUGGUCUUAAAAUUGUUGAUGCAGCUUGAAAAGCCAUAUUAUGUGACUCCAGAUUAUGCCAGUAUAGCAAUUCUCAUCAAGUUGACAGGGAUGCUAACUUUGAUCAGUUUUACCCUAUUUUCAAUGUGACAUGCUUCCAAAUUAUUCCAAAUAAAUGUUUUGAAUCGACAAGUCCUUGUGGUAUCCAAGCUGUGUUUCCUCCAAAAAGCAAACAUGGUAAAAAAUUAUUUCAAAAUUAUUUGGACAAUCUGUCCCUUGUGUCUUAAAUCCUCCUAGGUCAUUAAAAAAAAAAAAAAAAAAAAAAAAAAAAAGCUGCAACUCUGGAUUUCAUCUACAUUUGUAGAUUUCACCUACAUAGAUUUUAGUAUUAUACAUCAUUAGGGACGUAACGAUACACCCAACUCCCGAUUCAAAACAAUUUCCGAUUCUGGGUUGACGGGUUAACAGAAUUAGUGAUGACAAAUAAUGACUGAAAAAGAUUCCUUUAAUUAUUUCUCAGAGAAAAAAAAUAAAAAAUUUCUAUGGUAGGGUGCAUUUUCAAAACAAACUAUGCAAUGAAUGCUUAUGUAAAAAAAAUAUCUAUUAUUUAGGUAUAUAACUGCAAAUUAUAUUGUCUCUUAUCUUUAACAAAUUAAAGAGAACCCUCUUUUUAUUUCUCUGAGGUACAGUAAACUGUAAGACAAUGCAUUUGUCCUCCUAUUAAAGUGCAUUAAACAACAAUGGGGGUGGGGGGUGGGGGGGUGUUUAUGGUGUCUAUGGUUUGGUGUACAUGUAUGCAAAGUUCAAAGCAGAAGAUAGAUGUAUUUUGUCAUAAUCUUUAAAAGUAAAUGUAAUCUGAUCAAAUCGCGGACAACUACGUGAAAAUGUGAGACCGUAGUUUAUGUGCGAGAUUUACUAAAAUUCUUAUGUAAGAAUUAAAGACUCUCCUUACUGGUUCAGUGGGUCAUCUAUGUUUCCACCAAAGUGGGACGAGACAGAGGCCAAGAGACAGAAGCCAAAAUGAAGCGUUCCAGAUGGAAGCUGGAAUAAUGUUUUAAAACACCACUGUGAGAAAUUUGAGGCUUUUUUAUCUGAAAAUCACAUAAAGUUAUUAAAGAAGAAUCAGAGAGGAAACAUAGAAUCUUAAAUCCUCUUCCUACAUAGCAACAAUGGUAUUGUUUAGCCUUGUUUUUAUGUUCACUGCAGUUUAUUGCAUAAUCAAGGUUGUGAAAAUGUCAAUACAUAUAGAUUCACAGCUGAUCUUAAAUAAUACAGCGUACUAACCCCUCGAAUGAGGUGCAGGCAUAUGUACAAAGGUGUCAAAUAGCCAAUAUUUACUGGCUGGUUUCACAAGAGCUCCUGUGCAUGAAAGAUUAGUAAAAAGGUGACUUUAGUUUGUUGGAUUAUAACAUAAGUAUUAUUUUCUGUGCGUAUUCCUGGAGGUAAUUAUCUACACUGGUACUUUAGUUUGUGGUCUGCUGAUUUCUCAUCAGUAUUUCUUCCAAAAUGUUGCAUUCAUCUCUGCACAGAUUUCUUCUGUAGUUUUGUUUUGAUGUGGUUUGUGGUAACAAAUUGCGGCCUGAAACCCUGUCACCCGUGCCUGAGAUAGUUUAUCUACUUUUACUGAUGUAGAUUUAUGACUUUGAUUAAAUUGCAUUCAGUAUUACUUUUUUUUUUCUUGCUCUCUCCCACCAGUCUCUCCAUCACCCUUCCCUGUGACUUGGGUUCAGAGGCGGAACAGGAGAAUGUGGGGACCUUAUAUUGAACAGACAAUGUGGGCCUGACUGUGUGACUGUGCUGCUCUUUUUCAGCUGCCCUCAUGAUGUUUUAUGGGAAGCUAGCCUUACUUUGCAGAGUCAUCAAAGGCUGGGUUUAAAAUAGAAAAUCAGAUAACAUGUAAAAGGCAUUCAGAGUGUGCCUGUGAUCUCUAGGCAAGAUUCAUGAUUUACAUGUGUAGGUUUCCACUAAGAAGUGAAAAAUUGCGUAUUAUAGCUGAGUAAAAGCUGCAGCUAUUUCAAAUGGACCUUGUGACGGUUUCUUAAGCAUAAACACUGGUUAACAUGUUACAUAGGAACUCUAAUGUUUGCACCUUGAAGAAGG
This is a non-coding RNA of Xyrichtys novacula (pearly razorfish), 10517 nucleotides long. NCBI's taxonomy places the organism in Eukaryota, Metazoa, Chordata, Actinopteri, Labriformes, Labridae. The record is from the annotation of a GenBank genome assembly.